GUCUCUCCGGCUGGACGGGUGAGUCCUGCGACUGUCCCGUCUCCACCGAGAGCUGCGUGUCGGACGACGGCUCCGUCUGCAGCGGCUGGGGGCAGUGUGUGUGCGGCAAGUGUGUGUGUGACGACGCUCGGCGCUCGGGAGCCUUCUGUGAGACAUGCCCCGUCUGCUACAGCUCCUGUCAAUCACACUGGAGCUGUGUGAAGUGUCACGUGUCUCGGGGUCUGGACUCAGACGCUCCGGGUCUCUGUAAUCACAGCUGCGCUCCGGCCGUGGAGUACGUGGAGGACAUCACAGAGCUGGUGCGGGGGAAGUACUGCCUGUAUCCCAGCGGUGAGAAGUGCCAGCAUCGCUUCCUCGUGGAGCUGUCUUCAGAUGGUCCUCAGCUGCUCAUCAGUCGUCAUCCGGUGUGUGUUUGGAGCCGG
Molecule: long non-coding RNA, 422 nt
Organism: Puntigrus tetrazona (Sumatra barb)
Lineage: Eukaryota; Metazoa; Chordata; Actinopteri; Cypriniformes; Cyprinidae
Exons: 4
Source: RefSeq, a predicted model, not a curated record